Molecule: unclassified non-coding RNA, 344 nt
Filed under: soil metagenome
Description: partial contains 5.8S ribosomal RNA, internal transcribed spacer 2, and large subunit ribosomal RNA
Rfam family: 5.8S ribosomal RNA (bases 1-121)
Source: RNAcentral
GAUGAAGAAACGCAGCGAAAUGCGAUAAGUAAUGUGAAUUGCAGAAUCCAGUGAAUCAUCGAAUCUUUGAACGCACAUUGCGCCCGCCAGCAUUCUGGCGGGCAUGCCUGUUCGAGCGUCAUUUCAACCCUCGACCUCCCUUUGGGGAAGUCGGCGUUGGGGACCGGCAGCACACCGCCGGCCCUGAAAUGGAGUGGCGGCCCGUCCGCGGCGACCUCUGCGUAGUAAUCCAACUCGCACCGGAACCCCGACGCGGCCACGCCGUAAAACACCCAACUUCUGAACGUUGACCUCGAAUCAGGUAGGACUACCCGCUGAACUUAAGCAUAUCAAUAAGCGGAGGA